GACGAACGCUGGCGGCGUGCUUAACACAUGCAAGUCGAACGGAAAGGCCUCUUUCGGGGGGUACUCGAGUGGCGAACGGGUGAGUAACACGUGAGUAACCUGCCCUUGACUUUGGGAUAACUUCAGGAAACUGGGGCUAAUACCGGAUAGGAGCUCCUGCUGCAUGGUGGGGGUUGGAAAGUUUCGGCGGUUGGGGAUGGACUCGCGGCUUAUCAGCUUGUUGGUGGGGUAGUGGCUUACCAAGGCUUUGACGGGUAGCCGGCCUGAGAGGGUGACCGGCCACAUUGGGACUGAGAUACGGCCCAGACUCCUACGGGAGGCAGCAGUGGGGAAUAUUGCACAAGGGGUGGAAGCCUGAUGCAGCAACGCCGUGUGCGGGAUGACGGCCUUCGGGUUGUAAACCGCUUUCGCUCAUGACGAAGCUUUGUGUGACGUUAGUGGGUAAAGAAGCACCGGCUAACUACGUG
Molecule: ribosomal RNA, 467 nt
Filed under: uncultured bacterium
Lineage: Bacteria
Description: partial 16S ribosomal RNA
Rfam family: Bacterial small subunit ribosomal RNA
Source: RNAcentral